UACGUAGGGGCCGAGCGUUGUCCGGAGUUAUUGGGCGUAAAGCGCGCGCAGGCGGCCUCGCGCGCCCGACGUGAAAGCCCCCGGCUUAACCGGGGAGGGUCGUUGGGGACGGCGGGGCUUGAGGGCGGGAGAGGUCGGUGGAAUUCCCGGGGUAGUGGUGAAAUGCGUAGAGAUCGGGAGGAACACCUGUGGCGAAGGCGGCCGACUGGGCCGACCCUGACGCUGAGGCGCGAAGGCGUGGGGAGCGAACGGG
This 253-nucleotide ribosomal RNA is filed under the name uncultured bacterium. RNAcentral's name for it is "partial 16S ribosomal RNA". It matches the Rfam family "Bacterial small subunit ribosomal RNA", at positions 524 to 776 of the family's 1533-position model. The record is from RNAcentral.